ACCGGAUAUGAGCUCCUGUGCAUGCGGGGUGGAAAGUUUACUGGUGCAGGAUGGCCSCGCCUAUCAGCUUGUUGUGGGGUAAUGCCUACCAAGCGACGACGGGUAGCCGGCUGAGAGGSGACCGGCACACUGGGACUGAGACACGGCCCAGACUCCUACGGGAGGCAGCAGUGGGGAAUAUUGCACAAUGGGCGAAAGCCUGAUGCAGCGACGCCGCGUGAGGGAUGACGGCCUUCCSSUUGUAAACCUCUUUCAGCAGGGACGAAGCGAGAGUGACGGUACCUGCAGAAGAAGCACCGSCCAACUACGUGCCAGCAGCCGCGGUAAUACGUAGGGUGCGAGCGUUGUCCGGAAUUACUGGGCGUAAAGAGCUCGUAGGCGGUUUGUCGCGUCGUCCGUGAAAACUUGGGGCUCAACCCCAAGCUUGCGGGCGAUACGGGCAGACUUGAGUACUGCAGGGGAGACUGGAAUUCCUGGUGUAGCGGUGAAAUGCGCAGAUAUCAGGAGGAACACCGGUGGCGAAGGCGGGUCUCUGGGCAGUAACUGACGCUGAGGAGCGAAAGCGUGGGUAGCGAACAGGAUUAGAUACCUGGUAGUCCACGCCGUAAACGGUGGGCRCUAGGUGUGGGUUCUCCACGGGAUCCGUGCCGUAGCUAACGCAUAAGCGCCCCGCCUGGGGCC
Molecule: ribosomal RNA, 681 nt
Filed under: Rhodococcus sp. (in: high G+C Gram-positive bacteria)
Lineage: Bacteria; Bacillati; Actinomycetota; Actinomycetes; Mycobacteriales; Nocardiaceae
Description: bacterial SSU rRNA
Rfam family: Bacterial small subunit ribosomal RNA
Source: RNAcentral